RNAcentral lists this unclassified non-coding RNA (328 nucleotides) under soil metagenome. Its description in RNAcentral is "partial contains 5.8S ribosomal RNA, internal transcribed spacer 2, and large subunit ribosomal RNA". The stretch from base 1 to 120 matches the Rfam family "5.8S ribosomal RNA", at positions 35 to 154 of the family's 154-position model. The record is from RNAcentral.
GAUGAAGAACGCAGCGAAAUGCGAUAAGUAAUGUGAAUUGCAGAAUUCAGUGAAUCAUCGAAUCUUUGAACGCACAUUGCGCCCCUUGGUAUUCCGAGGGGCAUGCCUGUUCGAGCGUCAUUAUAACCCCUCAAGCUCAGCUUGGUGUUGGGGCCUGCUGCACUGGCAGCCCUUAAAAUCAGUGGCGGCGCCAUCUGGCUCUAAGCGUAGUAAUUCUUCUCGCUGUUGGGCCCGGGUGGCCGCUGGCCAGCAACCCCAAAUUUUCUAUGGUUGACCUCGGAUCAGGUAGGGAUACCCGCUGAACUUAAGCAUAUCAAUAAGCGGAGGA